Molecule: RNA transcript, 1591 nt
Organism: Triticum aestivum (bread wheat)
Lineage: Eukaryota; Viridiplantae; Streptophyta; Magnoliopsida; Poales; Poaceae
Gene name: GDSL esterase/lipase At5g45910
Exons: 4
Source: RefSeq, a predicted model, not a curated record
GAAAGGUGUUUUUUAAACAAGGCGGCAUAAUUACCACCACGUACCCUCGUAGUAGGAGUAGUAGUAAGUUGUAAUCCAUGUGCCCUGCUAUAUAAUAAUCCCCUAAGCACUCUCUUUUAGCCGUCCAAUGCCUGCUCCCCCCUCUCUCCCUCUCUCUUCUUUCUCCCGCACGCACGCGCGCUGUUUGGUGAGAGGCCAACUUUGGUGGUGACCAUGGAGAGGACGCCGUCGUCGUGGUGCAUCCUCCUGUGUCUGGCCGCCGCUUCGGCGGCGGCGGCGGCCCCGCUGCCGCAGUACUACAACGCCAUAUUCAGCUUCGGCGACUCCUUCUCCGACACGGGCAACUUCGUCAUCAUCAACUCCGGCAAGCUGCCCAACAUGCCCAAGUUCCCGCCGCCCUACGCCCGCUGCUCCAACGGCCGCCUCGUCAUCGACUUCCUGGCCGAGGCGCUGGGAGUGCCGCUGCUGCCGCCGUCGGCGAACAAGGGCACCAACUUCAGCCAGGGCGCCAACUUCGCGGUGAUGGGCGCCACGGCUCUGGAGCUCAAGUACUUCCGGGACAACAACGUGUGGAGCAUCCCGCCCUUCAACACCUCCAUGAAGUGCCAGCUCGAGUGGUUCCAGGAGGUCAAGGAGACCGUCUGCUCCUCCCCGCAAGAGUGCAAGGAGUUUUUCGGCAAGGCGCUGUUCGUGUUCGGCGAGUUCGGCGGCAACGACUACAGCUUCGCGUGGAAGGCGGAGUGGAGCCUGGACAAGGUGAAGACGGAGAUGGUGCCCAAGGUGGUGGAGUCGAUGAUCGACGGCGUCGAGGCGGUCCUCGACGAGGGCGCGCGGCACGUGGUGGUGCCGGGCAACCUCCCCGCCGGCUGCAUCCCCAUCACGCUCACCAUGUACGCGUCCGAGGACCGCAGCGACUACGACCCGCGCACCGGCUGCCUCAAGAAGUUCAACAGCGUGGCCCUCUACCACAACGCCAUGCUCCGCAUCGCCCUCGACCAGCUCCAGCGCCGCCGCCCGGACGCCCGCAUCAUCUACGCCGACUACUACACCCCCUACAUCCAGUUCGCCCGCACGCCUCACCUCUACGGUCAGCCGAUCACCUCCCUUUUCCUCCUUUGAUUUCAUUGAUCCCUACUUGCUUCCUGGUGCUGCUAGCGUGUGGGUGCUCUGCUCUCCUCUGUUUCAAUGGGGAAUGGGGCACCGGCCACCUUUGUGGGUGUUAGUUCCAGGUUCAGCCUCUCAGGGCUGGUCACGCGCUAGCAUGUCAGUUCCACACAGAAGACCGGCGCGAGUGGGUACAAGAGGGGAGCCCUAAGGGCGUGCUGCGGCGGCGGAGGCCCGUACAACUACAACAUGAGCUCGUCGUGCGGGCUGCCCGGUGCCACGGUGUGCGACGAUCCCGACGCGCACGUCAGCUGGGACGGCAUCCACCUCACCGAGGCGCCCUACCGCUUCAUCGCCAACACCUGGCUCAAGGGCCCUUACGCGUACCCGCCCCUCGCCAGUGUCGUCCGCGACGACAUGGUCUAUUAACUUAACUACUGUUAUUAACACAAACACACACGAUGAUCCUUCAUCCAUGACUAAACUA